UGGGGAAUAUUGCACAAUGGGCGCAAGCCUGAUGCAGCCAUGCCGCGUGUGUGAAGAAGGCCUUCGGGUUGUAAAGCACUUUCAGCGGGGAGGAAGGGAGUAAAGUUAAUACCUUUGCUCAUUGACGUUACCCGCAGAAGAAGCACCGGCUAACUCCGUGCCAGCAGCCGCGGUAAUACGGAGGGUGCAAGCGUUAAUCGGAAUUACUGGGCGUAAAGCGCACGCAGGCGGUUUGUUAAGUCAGAUGUGAAAUCCUCGGGCUCAACCUGGGAACUGCAUCUGAUACUGGCAAGCUUGAGUCUCGUAGAGGGGGGUAGAAUUCCAGGUGUAGCGGUGAAAUGCGUAGAGAUCUGGAGGAAUACCGGUGGCGAAGGCGGCCCCCUGGACGAAGACUGACGCUCAGGUGCGAAAGCGUGGGGAGCAAACAGG
This 429-nucleotide ribosomal RNA is filed under the name Chloroflexota bacterium. RNAcentral's name for it is "Chloroflexi bacterium partial 16S ribosomal RNA". It matches the Rfam family "Bacterial small subunit ribosomal RNA", at positions 355 to 776 of the family's 1533-position model. Lineage: Bacteria; Bacillati; Chloroflexota. The record is from RNAcentral.